Non-coding RNA from Callorhinus ursinus (northern fur seal), 75 nucleotides. The record is from RefSeq and is a predicted model, not a curated record. Lineage: Eukaryota; Metazoa; Chordata; Mammalia; Carnivora; Otariidae.
CCAGGUGCUGGGUUCAGGACGUCUGUGCUUCAGAAGUAUGAAGUUAGGUGCAGCGACUUCGUCCUGUAGUGAGCU